UAGGGAAUAUUGGACAAUGGGGGCAACCCUGAUCCAGCCAUGCCGCGUGAGUGAAGAAGGCCCUCGGGUUGUAAAGCUCUUUUGUCCGGAAAGAAAAGCUUCGGGUUAAUACCCCGGGGUUCUGACGGUACCGGAAGAAUAAGCACCGGCUAACUUCGUGCCAGCAGCCGCGGUAAUACGAAGGGUGCAAGCGUUACUCGGAAUUACUGGGCGUAAAGCGUGCGUAGGUGGUUGUUUAAGUCUGAUGUGAAAGCCCUGGGCUCAACCUGGGAAUGGCAUUGGAAACUGGGCAGCUAGAGUGCGGUAGAGGGUAGUGGAAUUCCCGGUGUAGCAGUGAAAUGCGUAGAGAUUGGGAGGAACAUCUGUGGCGAAGGCGACUGCCUGGACCAGCACUGACACUGAGGCACGAAAGCGUGGGGAGCAAACA
Molecule: ribosomal RNA, 427 nt
Filed under: uncultured bacterium
Lineage: Bacteria
Description: bacterial SSU rRNA
Rfam family: Bacterial small subunit ribosomal RNA
Source: RNAcentral